GAUGAACGCUGGCGGCGUGCCUAAUACAUGCAAGUCGAGCGAACGGACGAGAAGCUUGCUUCUCUGAUGUUAGCGGCGGACGGGUGAGUAACACGUGGAUAACCUACCUAUAAGACUGGGAUAACUUCGGGAAACCGGAGCUAAUACCGGAUAAUAUUUUGAACCGCAUGGUUCAAAAGUGAAAGACGGUCUUGCUGUCACUUAUAGAUGGAUCCGCGCUGCAUUAGCUAGUUGGUAAGGUGACGGCUUACCAAGGCAACGAUGCAUAGCCGACCUGAGAGGGUGAUCGGCCACACUGGAACUGAGACACGGUCCAGACUCCUACGGGAGGCAGCAGUAGGGAAUCUUCCGCAAUGGGCGAAAGCCUGACGGAGCAACGCCGCGUGAGUGAUGAAGGUCUUCGGAUCGUAAAACUCUGUUAUUAGGGAAGAACAUAUGUGUAAGUAACUGUGCACAUCUUGACGGUACCUAAUCAGAAAACCACGGCUAACUACGUG
Molecule: ribosomal RNA, 497 nt
Filed under: uncultured bacterium
Lineage: Bacteria
Description: partial 16S ribosomal RNA
Rfam family: Bacterial small subunit ribosomal RNA
Source: RNAcentral